Molecule: ribosomal RNA, 372 nt
Filed under: uncultured organism
Description: bacterial SSU rRNA
Rfam family: Bacterial small subunit ribosomal RNA
Source: RNAcentral
CGUAGGGUGCGAGCGUUGCCCGGAUUUAUUGGGCGUAAAGGGCGCGUAGGCGGCUCGGCACGUCCGUUGUGAAAUCGCCCGGCUCAACUGGGCGGGGUCAGCGGAUACGGUCGAGCUUGAGCAAGCUAGGGGGCAAUGGAAUUCCCGGUGUAGUGGUGGAACGCGUAGAUAUCGGGAGGAACACCAGUGGCGAAGGCGGUUGCCUGGGGCUUUGCUGACGCUGAUGCGCGAAAGCGUGGGGAGCGAUCCGGAUUAGAUACCCGGGUAGUCCACGCCGUAAACGAUGCGGACUAGGUGUCGGGGGUAUCGACCCCCUCGGCGCCGCAGCUAACGCACUAAGUCCGCCGCCUGGGGACUACGGCCGCAAGGCUA